This 231-nucleotide ribosomal RNA is filed under the name uncultured Staphylococcus sp. RNAcentral's name for it is "partial 16S ribosomal RNA". It matches the Rfam family "Bacterial small subunit ribosomal RNA", at positions 109 to 334 of the family's 1533-position model. Lineage: Bacteria; Bacillati; Bacillota; Bacilli; Caryophanales; Staphylococcaceae. The record is from RNAcentral.
AGUAACACGUGGAUAACCUACCUAUAAGACUGGGAUAACUUCGGGAAACCGGAGCUAAUACCGGAUAAUAUAUUGAACCGCAUGGUUCAAUAGUGAAAGACGGUUUUGCUGUCACUUAUAGAUGGAUCCGCGCCGCAUUAGCUAGUUGGUAAGGUGACGGCUUACCAAGGCGACGAUGCGUAGCCGACCUGAGAGGGUGAUCGGCCACACUGGAACUGAGACACGGUCCAG